AAUGACAUGGGCUUCGCGCCAUUUGUGCACAAGCUCAUUCUUCAGUGACGUUUUCUAAGUUCGUUUGCCGCCAUUUAUUUCGCCUUGCUAAAUUAACAGGGGCCCCAAACACACAACGGCUUGAAUUGACUUCUUUCGAUUCCAGAGAAGGGUUCUCUAUCUUUUGACGGAAAUUAGGAACCUAAUGAAACAGAAUCAAGACUCAGUGGCAGACACAGUAUCAGUUAGCUCUAUCGAGCAACUCAAUACACAGUAAGUGUUGGAUACUGUCGAGGGGAGACUGAGAGAGGAAAGGAUAUCAAGCCAGCUUGAAAAAAUCCCUAAGAAGGACUGGCAGGGCGAAUGCCAAUGACCAUGUGAAAAAGGCUAUGCUAAGAAUGAUGACAAACUCGCUCAUGUCCAAAAUGAACAUGAAGGGAAAGACAACCAAGAUUGCGUUUCAUGUACUACUUUGUGUGUGGUGAUUAAAGAUGCAGUCCUCCUGACCUUUCGAAAGACAACGGAAACGGAACUUCAGGAUAUGGUCAGUCGAUUUCUAAAAUAUGCCCCUGGAAGAACGUGGGGGAUGGAAGGCCUAAGCACUAGGACCUCUUUGCCACCCCAAAAAAGAA
Long non-coding RNA from Haliotis rufescens (red abalone), 611 nucleotides. RefSeq lists it as uncharacterized. The record is from RefSeq and is a predicted model, not a curated record. The transcript is spliced from 5 exons. Lineage: Eukaryota; Metazoa; Mollusca; Gastropoda; Lepetellida; Haliotidae.